CCUACGGGAGGCAGCAGUGAGGAAUAUUGGUCAAUGGCCGUAAGUCUGAACCUGCCAAGUAGCGUGAAGGAUGACUGCCCUAUGGGUUGUAAACUUCUUUUAUAAAGGAAUAAAACGAGGCACGUGUGCCUUUUUGCAUGUACUUUAUGAAUAAGCAUCGGCUAACUCCGUGCCAGCAGCCGCGGUAAUACGGAGGAUCCGAGCGUUAUCCGGAUUUAUUGGGUUUAAAGGGAGCGUAGAUGGUUUUUUAAGUCAGUUGUGAAAGUUUGCGGCUCAACCGUAAAAUUGCAGUUGAUACUGGCAGUCUUGAGUAUAUUUGAGGUAGGCGGAAUGCGUGGUGUAGCGGUGAAAUGCUUAGAUAUCACGAAGAACCCCGAUUGCGAAGGCAGCUUACUAAACUGUGACUGACACUGAUGCACGAAAGUGUGGGUAUCAAACAGGAUUAGAUACCCUAGUAGUC
This 460-nucleotide ribosomal RNA is filed under the name uncultured bacterium. RNAcentral's name for it is "partial 16S ribosomal RNA". It matches the Rfam family "Bacterial small subunit ribosomal RNA", at positions 338 to 795 of the family's 1533-position model. The record is from RNAcentral.